GACGAACGCUGGCGGCGUGCUUAACACAUGCAAGUCGAACGGAAAGGCCUGCUUUCCCUUGUGGAUUGCGGGUGCUCGAGUGGCGAACGGGUGAGUAACACGUGAGUGAUCUGCCCCCAACUUGGGUAUAAGCCUGGGAAACUGGGUCUAAUUCCCGAUAGGACUGCAGGGUGGUGCCUGUGGUGGAAAACGAUUUUCUAGUGGUUGGGGAUGAGCUCGCGGCCUAUCAGCUUGUUGGUGGGGUAAUGGCCUACCAAGGCGGCGACGGGUAGCCGGCCUGGGAGGGUGGACGGCCACAUUGGGACUGAGAGACGGCCCAGACGCCUACGGGAGGCAGCAGUGGGGAAUAUUGCACAAGGGGCGGAAGCCUGAUGCAGCGACGCCGCGUGGGGGAUGACGGCCUUCGGGUUGUAAACUCCUUUCGACCGCGAGGAAGCCACCUGGUUGGAAGGGUGGUGACGGUAGUGGUAGAAGAAGCACCGGCUAACUACGUG
RNAcentral lists this ribosomal RNA (494 nucleotides) under uncultured bacterium. Its description in RNAcentral is "partial 16S ribosomal RNA". It matches the Rfam family "Bacterial small subunit ribosomal RNA", at positions 28 to 507 of the family's 1533-position model. The record is from RNAcentral.